Molecule: long non-coding RNA, 1834 nt
Organism: Dermochelys coriacea (leatherback sea turtle)
Lineage: Eukaryota; Metazoa; Chordata; Testudines; Dermochelyidae
Exons: 3
Source: RefSeq, a predicted model, not a curated record
AAGAGAGUCUGCAGUCAAUCUCCAUUCACAGAAAGGUAGGUAGGAGGAAAUCCAGAGGGCAAAAGCCCUGAGAUCCUAGCCCUGCAGGAAGGUUUUACCCAGAGAUACUGUGGGGAAGAAAGCCUGUGGAAGAUAGAAUGGGAAGAAGCCCAGAAAAAGAGCAGGGAGGGUGGAGACCGUGUAGACCUUGGCUGCUGAUUAGAGGGUGUAUGGGCUAGAACCUUGAGUAGCAGGUAGCCCCAGGUUCCCCUACCAGCCACUGGGAAAGUAGCCUGGACUUAGAAUUGGUAUGGAGGACUGCCUGAAAUGGCAUAUGGACAGUUUACCUAGCUGGGCUUUGAUACUCUAGAAGGGAGGAGGUGUGGGGAAUGGACUGUACAGUGACCUGGUUGGAGGGCUGAGUCAUGAAGAGAGAGCAUCUUGAGUCCUGGAGAGUGAGAAGGGGCCACAGGAUGAGUGAGUGAUAGAAGAGGGCUCUAGACCAGAUGAUAGCUGAUCCCCAGACCCAGCCAUGAAGAAGUUGCACUGCAGUUAGUGUACUCUGUUACAGGUUCCUUUUCUUCUUACUAGCAGGUAAGGGUUUGUCUCUCUACACAGCACACUAAACUUGGACUCUGACUCUGGUUUAAGCCCACACAAAAAUCAGUCGGACUCUUCCAGAAACCCCUCUGACUCAAGUCCACUGCAAGGGAAGUGGGUCAGAACCAGAGUCCCACUGUCAUGUGUGACAAAGCUCAGGCAUUUUGCCAUGUGGACUCAAGUCAGGUCGCCAGACUCAUAAUGUUAAUGGACUCAAGAUCUGUUACAAUCUCCUGGGACUGUGCUUCCCAGUCUUUCAAUCCCAAAACUUCCUACUCAUUUCCUGGAAAGUAGAAACAACCUCCUGGUUUAAAUGCAGCUGCUCAGCAUUUAAACCUUCAUUUCCAUGUGGCAUGGUCAACUGGGAUCACAGUCAACCCUCAUUUGCCUUAACCUAGCUAGUUCUAAGAAGUUCUGCAUCAAGUGCUAGCUGGCCAGAGGAACGCUGCCGGAUUCUGGUUAACUUCUGGUAUGAAGUGAGCAAGACGUUCUACUUCAGCAAUAGCACAAGAAAUCACCAUCUUUACAUAACUAUAUUUGAGUGGUUGGCAGUGCUGGGGAUCGAUCAGACAGCAGAAAAAUGCAGAGAGUGAAACAAACUGCUGCAAACCAAGAACUACAAAGUUUAGGAUGCUAGCGGCACCUCUGGGAACUCCCAGUCUUUCUGCCUCUUUUACAAGAAUUUGACUGGGUAUUGAGAAUGGUAGCAAGCACUGAUCCCAGACUGAUUCAAGACAAUCUACUGCACGGGGAUAGUAACCUUAUAACUCCCACCCCCACCCCCCAUUACAGGCACCACCAGAGGAGAGCUAGCCCCCAGAUGAAGGCCAAGAAGUGACCCUGGUGGCGAGGCCAGUACCCAAAGAAGCUAUGCUGCUGGAGCAACUAUAGCACAUUUUAGGGCAAGCACGCAGCCUGGGGGAGUAGACCCACCUACUGCAAGCAAAGAGAAAGAGUCCAAGUGUCCAUGACUUGAGAGCAGAAAUGAUGUCACUGUUCAGUGGCACAAAAGCAACCAAGCUGCCAUGAGAUGCUGAUUCUUCCUCCAAUUUUUCCCUCCUUUCAUGCCAGCCAAUUAUUUUGGGAACACAAAGGGACGAAGUUUUUAUUUUGUUACCACCAUAAAUCAGGGUUUGUGGAGAAUUCCAGCUCUGUCAAUAAGGAAUGAACACACCCCAUUGUCCAGACUGUUAAAUCUAAUUUGUGGAAGCAUGGCAUACGCACGCCACCCACCCCCCGUCUUUUCACUGGUAAA